AGCACCGUAGCACAGUGGAAGUGCGACAGGCUCAUAACUUGUAGGUCGGCGGAUCGAAACCUCCCGGUGCUA
Molecule: non-coding RNA, 72 nt
Organism: Angomonas deanei
Lineage: Eukaryota; Euglenozoa; Kinetoplastea; Trypanosomatida; Trypanosomatidae
Source: Rfam